CGUCUCAACAUCCAUCGCUUCUCUAAAAAAAAGUGUUACAGAAACCCAACCAUCAAUUUUUAUUUGCACCGUCAAUCUUCUUCUUCUUCCUACCCUAUAAACAAUUUUUAACUGAUCUCUUCAUUUCCUCCCCAUGCAAUUUUCUUCUUCUUUUCGAUUCAACAUAGAUCCAGUGAUUUGCAAAAGUUUGAGAUUUAAUCACCAAGCCAACGUGCCAAGCAGCUUCCUUUCUCUUCCUCCAGCUCCAUGCUAAUCCGUAAGGAUUCGAUCAGUGCGAAGAAACAAAGCACUGGAUUUGGGAUCAGCAUGUGUGCAAGCUUCUAUGCGCAUCCCCUAAUCAUUCAGGUUCCAUCUCUUUUUGUUUCCUCUCUCUCAAUAUCGUGCAUCUUCCCUCAUGAAGAUUUAUGAUGCAUUCGUUGGAGCUGUUUAGUAGGUUCAGAGUUGCAGAAACAUGUGUCUAACAAAGAGAUCUCGAACUGGAUCCUGUGAGAUUAGUUGAAAUCAAUCAAGUAUUGGAAUCAAUCCGUCAAGCUUUUCACCACCAGGUUCCAUAUCUUUCUCAUUCACGAACUUCCUUUCAAUCUGAACCCAAUUUUUUUUAAUCAUGCUUUCGUUGGAACUGGUUGGUACUAAACAUGUGAGCUGCAGAAACUGGAUAAAGAUUAUUCUGAGUCUCUCAGAUGCUUAGUACAGCUACGUAAUCUUGCCUUCCCCUUCUCCCUAUCUUAUUUUGUUAUAAUUGAUAAGGUAAAAGCUUAAUAAUGUGAUUAUUAUCUUAUAAGUUGCAGGUAUGGGUUCUGUAAAAUCAGUAUAUGAAAUUCAUUGUAUAAAUUCUUUUGAUCCCGUGCAACAGGUCAAGUCAUGGUGGCGGUGGAUUCUGUGGUCCUCCAAUCGUCGGAGUAUACGUCUCCCCCCAUCUUCCCCACUCCGUUAUUUAUGGAAGACGGAUCUAAAGACAAAGUAAGUAAGAUGAGGAUGAAGUAUUUGUGUUCCAGUGAACAAAUAAUACUUUAGGAUGAAGAAGACAACCGAUCCUAGCUUGGUGUAUGCAGGGACUACAAUGUAAGUUCAGAUUUAUCCAUUGCAGUGAGCUAGAAGAAGCAGAGUUAUCUCUGUGUGAGACAAGUUCCUUGCACUACGAGGAGAGCUCGAUGUCUAUUAACUUGCUGUGUUAUAUUGAUUUUCUAAUAUAUUGUUCUUAAAGUAAAAUCUCUCCAGGGUCUAGAAGGUUCCAAGAUAUCCAAAGGAACCAGCCAAAAUCAGGCUUGCGAAGCAGACAUGGCUACCGAAAAAAGGGAACAAUAGACAGACUAGAUCGAUUCUGUCUUCAUGUCCAGACGAUCUCGCCCUCAGUUCAACCUAAUUCGGCGAAAGCAAUUGAGUUUUCCGGAGUUGGGCAGGAAAGUUUGCACAGAGAAGACUAACUAUGAAGGAAGAGAUCCAGAGAAGGACAAUACAGGCCGAGUGCUUGAUCUAACUAAAGGUAAGGAGAAAAAAAACUCAAAUGAACAUCAUCAUCACCGUCGCCAUCAUUCUGAUACUUCAUUUGAUAUCGUGAGUUCCAUCUUAUUUCUAUUACUAGGUCUCCUGGGUUUUGUCAAAGUAUUUGAUUAAAAGUUAUGGUAUCAACAUUACAGUCUGGAAUAUUUUUAAGUCGAACUAAUUGAUUCUACUAACAAAUCGCAAUGCUGUGAAUGGCUUUAAGCUAUUUAAAAUCAUCUAUCACGGUCCCAACAGCUGUUCUUCUUCUAGGAGGCUGCCUCUUCGCCUGUAAGUUAUUGAUCACAUGAUACACAAGAUUCUAAACUGAAAACCUAUGUUGGCCUACUUCCUUACUAAAUCACCAAAGACGAGAGUUCUUGGCGAUACCAUAGGACUUGGCUCUGCCUUUCUUUUCUCUUUGGUCUUUGGGUUUCGCUUGGCAUCUUCCCGAAAACUGGUCCCAGCAGGCCUCAGCAUGUCGUUCUUUGUAAUGGUGCAUAAGCUCGAUAGUUUAACCUGUGGCUGUAUCCGGCUUUGCUAUGUUGUUGCCUCUGCUAUAGCCUGAUGAGCAUAGCCCUUUAGCCAAAUAGAAAUUCCUAAAAUCAUGUAUCAAACACAAAGUUUUGCUUUUGCCCACACCCCAAUAAGUGUGUAUGCAGAGUAAAUAUUGAUAAUCAAACACAGAUGCAUUUUCUUUA
Raphanus sativus (radish) is the source of this 2180-nucleotide long non-coding RNA. RefSeq lists it as uncharacterized. The transcript has 8 exons. Lineage: Eukaryota; Viridiplantae; Streptophyta; Magnoliopsida; Brassicales; Brassicaceae. The record is from RefSeq and is a predicted model, not a curated record.